GUGGGGAAUAUUGCACAAUGGGGGAAACCCUGAUGCAGCAACGCCGCGUGAGUGAAGAAGUAUUUCGGUAUGUAAAGCUCUAUCAGCAGGGAAGAUAAUGACGGUACCUGACUAAGAAGCUCCGGCUAAAUACGUGCCAGCAGCCGCGGUAAUACGUAUGGAGCAAGCGUUAUCCGGAUUUACUGGGUGUAAAGGGUGCGUAGGUGGCAGUGCAAGUCAGAUGUGAAAGGCCGGGGCUCAACCCCGGAGCUGCAUUUGAAACUGCAUAGCUAGAGUACAGGAGAGGCAGGCGGAAUUCCUAGUGUAGCGGUGAAAUGCGUAGAUAUUAGGAGGAACACCAGUGGCGAAGGCGGCCUGCUGGACUGUUACUGACACUGAGGCACGAAAGCGUGGGGAGCAAACAGGAUUAGAAACCCUAGUAGUCC
This 425-nucleotide ribosomal RNA is filed under the name uncultured bacterium. RNAcentral's name for it is "bacterial SSU rRNA". It matches the Rfam family "Bacterial small subunit ribosomal RNA", at positions 354 to 796 of the family's 1533-position model. The record is from RNAcentral.